CUUUUAUCUCAACCUUGAUUUCAUCACAGUGAUAAACUCUAAAUAUGGAAGCUUCUCUCACUAGAACAGAGGCAGCUUCUAUAUAACCUGUGUUACCAUGGCAAUGAGACAGUCCAACAGAUAUCUCCCCAGAAUUCACCAGCUAGUGACGUUUUAGAAUUAGGAAUUCUGGAACUGCUUUGUGAAGGUUUCUGUGUAGAAAGAUACAAGAAGGAGUAGAGGUUAGUCAAGAGUUAGAAUUAUAGCAUCAUCUUCCAUUUCUGGACCACACGGACAGGGUGCUCCUCAACCUUCGCCUCCAGACAGAGGCUGACACCAGAGGCCACUAUUGCUAUUGAUGCACUGGUGUGGAUCAUAUUUGCUAUUUUAUAGAGGAGGAAACUGGAGCAAGCAGAGUUAAGUGACUUGUCCAAGGUCACCCAGUCAUUAUGUAUCUGAGACCAGAUGUGAACUCAGAAAGAUGAGACCUCCCAACUCCAGACCCAGUGCUCCAUCUACUAUGCCACCUAUCUGCCCAGAGAGUUGUCCACUUGUCUCCUAAAGAUCUCAUUCCUGACCUGGGGUAUAGGAGCCUGGGAACUGGAGAGAAACAAGAGAGGACAGGGGGUGCCAAAAGCCCCAGAUUUCAUAUUUAGCGAGAACAUUUCCUCCCAAAAGAAGACCCAUAUGACCCUUCCAGGGAACACAUCCACCAGAGAAGUAUAUGGCCUCAGAGAUGACAUUGGAUGAAAUAGGAGACAAGUAGCAA
RNAcentral lists this long non-coding RNA (748 nucleotides) under Monodelphis domestica (gray short-tailed opossum). RNAcentral's name for it is "lncRNA (ENSMODG00000037045.1)". The record is from RNAcentral. Lineage: Eukaryota; Metazoa; Chordata; Mammalia; Didelphimorphia; Didelphidae.